CAACUGUGUGACACCGCGCUC
RNAcentral lists this non-coding RNA (21 nucleotides) under Arabidopsis thaliana (thale cress). The record is from RNAcentral. Lineage: Eukaryota; Viridiplantae; Streptophyta; Magnoliopsida; Brassicales; Brassicaceae.